CUCCUACGGGAGGCAGCAGUGGGGGAUAUUGCACAAUGGGGGAAACCCUGAUGCAGCGACGCCGCGUGGAGGAAGAAGGUUUUCGGAUUGUAAACUCCUGUCGUUAGGGACGAUAAUGACGGUACCUAACAAGAAAGCACCGGCUAACUACGUGCCAGCAGCCGCGGUAAAACGUAGGGUGCAAGCGUUGUCCGGAAUUACUGGGUGUAAAGGGAGUGCUUGCGGACCGGCAAUCCGGAAGUGAAAA
Molecule: ribosomal RNA, 247 nt
Filed under: uncultured bacterium
Lineage: Bacteria
Description: partial 16S ribosomal RNA
Rfam family: Bacterial small subunit ribosomal RNA
Source: RNAcentral